Molecule: ribosomal RNA, 509 nt
Filed under: Trachylepis raymondlaurenti (Laurent's long tailed skink)
Lineage: Eukaryota; Metazoa; Chordata; Lepidosauria; Squamata; Scincidae
Description: partial 16S ribosomal RNA
Rfam family: Bacterial large subunit ribosomal RNA
Source: RNAcentral
AAGUAUUAAAGGUCCCGCCUGCCCAGUGAAACAUCUUCAACGGCCGCGGUAUUCUAACCGUGCAAAGGUAGCGUAAUCACUUGUCUUCUAAAUAAAGACCAGUAUGAAUGGCUAAAUGAGGACAAACCUGUCUCUUAUAGUUAAUCAGUGAAACUGAUCUUCCAGUACAAAAGCUGGAAUUAAAACAUAAGACGAGAAGACCCCGUGGAGCUUAAAAUAAACUACUACCCAAAGCUAGUAGAACCUUUUCAGUUGGGGCGACUUCGGAAUACAAUAAAACUUCCGAGCACAGAACCACACCUUCUACCAAAGGCCAACAAGCCAAACACAUUGACCCGGCUAAUGCCGAACAACGAACCAAGUUACCCCGGGGAUAACAGCGCUAUCUUCUUUAAGAGUUCAUAUCAACAAGAAGGUUUACGACCUCGAUGUUGGAUCAGGACACCCAAAUGGUGCAGCCGCUAUUAAAGGUUCGUUUGUUCAACGAUUAAUGUCCUACGUGAUCUGAG